RNAcentral lists this ribosomal RNA (1461 nucleotides) under Bacteroides sp. DJF_B097. Its description in RNAcentral is "bacterial SSU rRNA". It matches the Rfam family "Bacterial small subunit ribosomal RNA". Lineage: Bacteria; Pseudomonadati; Bacteroidota; Bacteroidia; Bacteroidales; Bacteroidaceae. The record is from RNAcentral.
AGAGUUUGAUCMUGGCUCAGGAUGAACGCUAGCUACAGGCUUAACACAUGCAAGUCGAGGGGCAGCAUCAUCAAAGCUUGCUUUGAUGGAUGGCGACCGGCGCACGGGUGAGUAACACGUAUCCAACCUGCCGACAACACUGGGAUAGCCUUUCGAAAGAAAGAUUAAUACCGGAUGGCAUAGUUUUCCCGCAUGGGAUAAUUAUUAAAGAAUUUCGGUUGUCGAUGGGGAUGCGUUCCAUUAGGCAGUUGGCGGGGUAACGGCCCACCAAACCAACGAUGGAUAGGGGUUCUGAGAGGAAGGUCCCCCACAUUGGAACUGAGACACGGUCCAAACUCCUACGGGAGGCAGCAGUGAGGAAUAUUGGUCAAUGGACGAGAGUCUGAACCAGCCAAGUAGCGUGAAGGAUGACUGCCCUAUGGGUUGUAAACUUCUUUUAUACGGGAAUAAAGUUAGCCACGUGUGGCUUUUUGUAUGUACCGUAUGAAUAAGGAUCGGCUAACUCCGUGCCAGCAGCCGCGGUAAUACGGAGGAUCCGAGCGUUAUCCGGAUUUAUUGGGUUUAAAGGGAGCGUAGGCGGGUUGUUAAGUCAGUUGUGAAAGUUUGCGGCUCAACCGUAAAAUUGCAGUUGAUACUGGCGACCUUGAGUGCAACAGAGGUAGGCGGAAUUCGUGGUGUAGCGGUGAAAUGCUUAGAUAUCACGAAGAACUCCGAUUGCGAAGGCAGCUUACUGGAUUGUAACUGACGCUGAUGCUCGAAAGUGUGGGUAUCAAACAGGAUUAGAUACCCUGGUAGUCCACACAGUAAACGAUGAAUACUCGCUGUUGGCGAUAUACAGUCAGCGGCCAAGCGAAAGCAUUAAGUAUUCCACCUGGGGAGUACGCCGGCAACGGUGAAACUCAAAGGAAUUGACGGGGGCCCGCACAAGCGGAGGAACAUGUGGUUUAAUUCGAUGAUACGCGAGGAACCUUACCCGGGCUUAAAUUGCAACUGACUGAACCGGAAACGGUUCUUUCUUCGGACAGUUGUGAAGGUGCUGCAUGGUUGUCGUCAGCUCGUGCCGUGAGGUGUCGGCUUAAGUGCCAUAACGAGCGCAACCCUUAUCGAUAGUUACUAGCAGGUCAUGCUGAGGACUCUAUUGAGACUGCCGUCGUAAGAUGUGAGGAAGGUGGGGAUGACGUCAAAUCAGCACGGCCCUUACGUCCGGGGCUACACACGUGUUACAAUGGGGGGUACAGAAGGCAGCUACACGGCGACGUGGUGCUAAUCCCGAAAGCCUCUCUCAGUUCGGAUUGGAGUCUGCAACCCGACUCCAUGAAGCUGGAUUCGCUAGUAAUCGCGCAUCAGCCACGGCGCGGUGAAUACGUUCCCGGGCCUUGUACACACCGCCGUCAAGCCAUGAAAGCCGGGGGUACCUGAAGUACGUAACCGCGAGGAGCGUCCUAGGGUAAAACUGGUGAA